CCAAACACAUUGAUCUUAGAUCACCGGGGAUCAAAUCACCCCAACAUUCGGAUCACCGGAGAUCUUAGAUCACCGUGGUGAUCCUGUUGGGGUUACCAAACGCCCCCUUAGUGCAUGGAUUUCAUGGCCAACUUCAGCUUCCCUUCCAGGCUUCUUUAUUUGUCCCAGGCAGAUGCCAUUGGCUCCUUUUUUGUUCAAUUAUAAGGGGUUUGUCCACUGUCUUCUGUUUUCUUUUUUGGAGAAACCACCGUGUUUUAAUUUCUUUCACUGGAUUUUCCUCCACCUUGUACGACAAAAUGCCAACCCCCUUCUCCCAAUAAUAAACUCCCCAAAAAUCAGGUGUUUCCUAAAAUUUCACUCCUUAGUUUAGCCUUCUAAGAAGGAAAUUAGUUUUCCCUAUCUUAAUUAGUAUCAAAAAAAUGUGGUCCAUUCAUUUUUGCAUCCAAGAUAACUAAUUAAAUUAUUUGUUCAAAUCUUAAAAUUUGAAAC
Molecule: long non-coding RNA, 489 nt
Filed under: Phoenix dactylifera (date palm)
Lineage: Eukaryota; Viridiplantae; Streptophyta; Magnoliopsida; Arecales; Arecaceae
Description: long non-coding RNA (PDAC_LNC022363)
Source: RNAcentral